UACAGAGGUCUCAAGCGUUGUUCGGAUUCAUUGGGCGUAAAGGGUGUGUAGGUGGCGCCGUAAGUCGGGUGUGAAAUUUCGGAGCUUAACUCCGAAACUGCAUUCGAUACUGCGGUGCUUGAGGACUGGAGAGGAGACUGGAAUUCAUGGUGUAGCAGUGAAAUGCGUAGAGAUCAUGAGGAAGGCCAGUGGCGAAGGCGGGUCUCUGGACAGUUCCUGACACUGAGACACGAAGGCCAGGGGAGCAAACGGG
RNAcentral lists this ribosomal RNA (253 nucleotides) under uncultured bacterium. Its description in RNAcentral is "partial 16S ribosomal RNA". It matches the Rfam family "Bacterial small subunit ribosomal RNA", at positions 524 to 776 of the family's 1533-position model. The record is from RNAcentral.